RNAcentral lists this ribosomal RNA (277 nucleotides) under uncultured eukaryote. RNAcentral describes it as "partial 18S ribosomal RNA". It matches the Rfam family "Eukaryotic small subunit ribosomal RNA", at positions 21 to 304 of the family's 1831-position model. The record is from RNAcentral.
UAGUCAUAUGCUUGUCUCAAAGAUUAAGCCAUGCAUGUCUAAGUAUAAACAUUUAUACCGUGAAACUGCGAAUGGCUCAUUAAAUCAGUUAUAGUUUAUUUGAUAGUACCUUACUACUUGGAUAUCCGUGGUAAUUCUAGAGCUAAUACAUGCAUUAAACCUCGACUUCGGAAGGGGUGUAUUUAUUAGAUAAAAAACCAUCGUCUUCGGACUUUUUGGUGAUUCAUAGUAACUUAACGAAGCGCAUGGCCUUGAGCUGGCGCUAAGUCAUUCAAAU